GGUAACGGCCCACCAAGUCGACGAUCAGUAGCCGGACUGAGAGGUUGAACGGCCACAUUGGGACUGAGAUACGGCCCAGACUCCUACGGGAGGCAGCAGUCGGGAAUAUUGCGCAAUGGAGGAGACUCUGACGCAGUGACGCCGCGUGCAGGAAGAAGGUUUUCGGAUUGUAAACUGCUUUAGACAGGGAAGAAACAAGACAGUACCUGUAGAAUAAGCUCCGGCUAACUACGUGCCAGCAGCCGCGGUAAUACGUAGGGAGCAAGCGUUAUCCGGAUUUAUUGGGUGUAAAGGGUGCGUAGACGGGAAAUUAAGUUAGUUGUGAAAUCCCUCGGCUUAACUGAGGAACUGCAACUAAAACUGAUUUUCUUGAGUGCUGGAGAGGAAAGUGGAAUUCCUAGUGUAGCGGUGAAAUGCGUAGAUAUUAGGAGGAACACCAGUGGCGAAGGCGACUUUCUGGACAGUAACUGACGUUGAGGCACGAAAGUGUGGGGAGCAAACAGGAUUAGAUACCCUGGUAGUCCACACCGUAAACGAUGAAUGCUAGGUGU
Molecule: ribosomal RNA, 551 nt
Filed under: uncultured bacterium
Lineage: Bacteria
Description: bacterial SSU rRNA
Rfam family: Bacterial small subunit ribosomal RNA
Source: RNAcentral